GGGAAUGUAGAUCAGUUGGUUAGAUCAUCUGCCUGUCACGCAGAAGGCCGCGAGUUCGAUUCUCGUCAUUCCCGCCA
This 77-nucleotide transfer RNA is filed under the name Minisyncoccota bacterium. RNAcentral's name for it is "tRNA-Asp". It matches the Rfam family "tRNA". From Rfam's summary of the family: Transfer RNA (tRNA) molecules are approximately 80 nucleotides in length. Their secondary structure includes four short double-helical elements and three loops (D, anti-codon, and T loops). Further hydrogen bonds mediate the characteristic L-shaped molecular structure. tRNAs have two regions of fundamental functional importance: the anti-codon, which is responsible for specific mRNA codon recognition, and the 3' end, to which the tRNAs corresponding amino acid is attached (by aminoacyl-tRNA synthetases). tRNAs cope with the degeneracy of the genetic code in two manners: having more than one tRNA (with a specific anti-codon) for a particular amino acid; and 'wobble' base-pairing, i.e. permitting non-standard base-pairing at the 3rd anti-codon position. Lineage: Bacteria; Bacillati; Minisyncoccota. The record is from RNAcentral.